This 253-nucleotide ribosomal RNA is filed under the name uncultured bacterium. RNAcentral describes it as "partial 16S ribosomal RNA". It matches the Rfam family "Bacterial small subunit ribosomal RNA", at positions 524 to 776 of the family's 1533-position model. The record is from RNAcentral.
UACAGAGGUCUCAAGCGUUGUUCGGAUUCAUUGGGCGUAAAGGGUGCGUAGGCGGCGCGGUAAGUCGGGUGUGAAAUCUCGGAGCUUAACUCCGAAACUGCAUUCGAUACUGCCGUGCUUGAGGACUGGAGAGGAGACUGGAAUUUACGGUGUAGCGGUGAAAUGCGCAGAUAUCAGGAGGAACACCGGUGGCGAAGGCGGGUCUCUGGGCCGUAACUGACGCUGAGGAGCGAAAGCGUGGGUAGCGAACAGG